GGACCUGAUCCAGCCAUGCCGCGUGUGUGAAGAAGGCCUUUUGGUUGUAAAGCACUUUAAGCAGUGAAGAAGACUCUUCGGUUAAUACCCGGGGACGAUGACAUUAGCUGCAGAAUAAGCACCGGCUAACUCUGUGCCAGCAGCCGCGGUAAUACAGAGGGUGCAAGCGUUAAUCGGAAUUACUGGGCGUAAAGCGAGCGUAGGUGGCUUGAUAAGUCAGAUGUGAAAUCCCCGGGCUUAACCUGGGAACUGCAUCUGAWACUGUUAGGCUAGAGUAGGUGAGAGGGAAGUAGAAUUUCAGGUGUAGCGGUGAAAUGCGUAGAGAUCUGAAGGAAUACCGAUGGCGAAGGCAGCUUCCUGGCAUCAUACUGACACUGAGGCUCGAAAGCGUGGGUAGCAAACAGGAUUAGAUACCCUGGUAGUCCACGCCGUAAACGAUGUCUACUAGUCGUUGGGUCCCUUGAGGACUUAGUGACGCAGCUAACGCAAUAAGUAGACCGCCUGGGGAGUACGGCCGCAAGGUUAAAACUCAAAUGA
This 537-nucleotide ribosomal RNA is filed under the name Psychrobacter sp. RNAcentral's name for it is "bacterial SSU rRNA". It matches the Rfam family "Bacterial small subunit ribosomal RNA", at positions 379 to 908 of the family's 1533-position model. Lineage: Bacteria; Pseudomonadati; Pseudomonadota; Gammaproteobacteria; Moraxellales; Moraxellaceae. The record is from RNAcentral.